GUGGCGAACGGGUGAGGAACACGUAAGAAACCUGCCCCAAAGACGAGGAUAACUGUUGGAAACGAUAGCUAAUACUGGAUAGGACAUUAGAUCGCAUGGUCUUUUGUUUAAAGGUGCUUUCAAGCACCGCUAUGGGAUGGUCUUGCGUUGCAUUAGCUAGUUGGUAGGGUAACGGCCUACCAAGGCGAUGAUGCAUAGCUGGUCUGAGAGGAUGAACAGCCACACUGGGACUGAGACACGGCCCAGACUCC
RNAcentral lists this ribosomal RNA (251 nucleotides) under uncultured bacterium. RNAcentral describes it as "partial 16S ribosomal RNA". It matches the Rfam family "Bacterial small subunit ribosomal RNA", at positions 95 to 339 of the family's 1533-position model. The record is from RNAcentral.